Molecule: ribosomal RNA, 900 nt
Filed under: uncultured archaeon
Lineage: Archaea
Description: bacterial SSU rRNA
Rfam family: Archaeal small subunit ribosomal RNA
Source: RNAcentral
GUGGCAGCAGCCGCGGUAAAACCAGCACCUCAAGUGGUCAGGAGGAUUAUUGGGCCUAAAGCAUCCGUAGCCUGUUCUAUAAGUUUCCGGUUAAAUCCAUUAGCUCAACUAAUGGGCCGCCGAAAAUACUGUAGAACUAGGGAGUGGGAGAGGUAGACGGUAUUCGGUAGGAAGGGGUAAAAUCCUUUGAUCUAUUGAGGACCACCUGUGGCGAAGGCGGUCUACCAGAACACGUUCGACGGUGAGGGAUGAAAGCUGGGGGAGCAAACCGGAUUAGAUACCCGGGUAGUCCCAGCUGUAAACGAUGCAGACUCGGUGAUGCGCUGGCUUGUGGCCAGUGCAGUGCCGCAGGGAAGCCGUUAAGUUUGCCGCCUGGGAAGUACGUACGCAAGUAUGAAACUUAAAGGAAUUGGCGGGGGAGCACCACAAGGGGUGAAGCCUGCGGUUCAAUUGGAGUCAACGCCAGAAAUCUUACCCGAAGAGACAGCAGAAUGAAGGUCAAGCUGGAGACUUUACCAGACAAGCUGAGAAGUGGUGCAUGGCCGUCGCCAGCUCGUGCCGUGAGAUGUCCUGUUAAGUCAGGUAACGAGCGAGAUCCCUGCCUCUAGUUGCCACCAUUACUCUCAGGAGUAGUGGGGCGAAUUAGCGGGACCGCCGCAGUUAAUGCGGAGGAAGGAAGGGGCCACGGCAGGUCAGUAUGCCCUGAAACUUUGGGGCCACACGCGGGCUGCAAUGGUAGUGACAAUGGGUUCCGAAUCCGAAAGGAGGAGGCAAUCCUCAAACGCUACCACAGUUAUGAUUGAGGGCUGUAACUCGCCCUCAUGAAUAUGGAAUCCCUAGUAACUGCGUGUCAUUACCGCGCAGUGAAUACGUCCCUGCUCCUUGCACACACCGCCCGUC